AGUCCCCGGGAAUCCUUACGCACGCUUAGACUCUUGGGAGUUGUAGUACGAAUCCAGUCAGGGUUGGAACCAUGGCGGUGGCCAAGGAGCUCUUACAGAUGGACCUGUACGCGCUGCUAGGUAUCGAGGAGAAAGCGGCGGACAAAGAGGUGAAGAAGGCAUAUAGACAGAAGGCCCUCUCCUGCCACCCAGACAAAAAUCCGGAUAAUCCCAGAGCAGCUGAGCUCUUCCACCAGCUUUCUCAGGCCUUGGAGGUACUGACCGACACUGCAGCCAGGGCUGCAUAUGACAAGGUCAGGAAAGCCAAGAAGCAGGCAGCAGAGCGGACCCAGAAACUUGAUGAGAGAAGGAAGAAAGUGAAGCUUGACCUGGAGGCCCGAGAGCGCCAGGCCCAGGCCCAUGGCAGUGAUGAUGAAGAGGAGAGCCGGAGCACCAGGACACUAGAGCAGGAGAUCGAACGCCUUAGAGAAGAGGGUUCCCGGCAGCUGGAGGAACAGCAGAGGCUGAUCCAGGAGCAGAUACGGCAGGAACGGGAGCAGAGGUUGAGAGGAAAGGCAGAAAAUCCUGAAGACAGAGGAACCCCCAAGCUAAAGCUAAAAUGGAAAUGCAAGAAGGAAGAUGAGUCAAAAGGCGGCUACUCCAGAGAUGUCCUCCUGCAGCUUUUCCAGAAGGCUGAGCCAUGCUUACUGGGAACCCCUUGUCCUCACAGUACGGAGAGGUGCUCAACCUGGUGCUUUCCAGUAAGAAGGCUGGCACUGCCGUGGUGGAGUUUGCAACCAUCAAGGCUGCGGAGCUGGCUGUCCAAAACGAAGUGGGCCUAGUUGAUAACCCUCUGAAGAUUUCCUGGUUGGAGGGACGGCCCCAGGGCACAGGGGACCCCAGACAUGCAGGACUGUCACAGGGCUCUGUGCUGUCGGAGAGGGACUACGAGAGCCUCGUCAUGAUGCGCAUGCGCCAGGCUGCUGAGCGGCAACAGCUGAUCGCCCAGAUGCAGCAGGAGGAGGAGGUGGGGCAGCCCACCUAGCCCUCAGCCCCAGUGCACUCACCCACAGCCCUUUUCUUAAACGUCACCAAUAAACUUUGUGUUUGUUUUUUUUUUUU
Molecule: RNA transcript, 1101 nt
Organism: Nyctereutes procyonoides (raccoon dog)
Lineage: Eukaryota; Metazoa; Chordata; Mammalia; Carnivora; Canidae
Gene: DNAJC17
Gene name: DnaJ heat shock protein family (Hsp40) member C17
Exons: 11
Source: RefSeq, a predicted model, not a curated record